UCCGCAGUAGCUCAGUGGUAGAGCAGCCGACUGUUAAUCGGCUGGUCGUAGGUUCGAAUCCUACCUGCGGAGCCA
This 75-nucleotide transfer RNA is filed under the name Brevundimonas vesicularis. RNAcentral describes it as "tRNA-Asn(gtt)". It matches the Rfam family "tRNA". From Rfam's summary of the family: Transfer RNA (tRNA) molecules are approximately 80 nucleotides in length. Their secondary structure includes four short double-helical elements and three loops (D, anti-codon, and T loops). RNAcentral also lists the same sequence under 41 other names. The record is from RNAcentral. Lineage: Bacteria; Pseudomonadati; Pseudomonadota; Alphaproteobacteria; Caulobacterales; Caulobacteraceae.